AGAAUCAACGCUGGCGGCGUGCCUAACACAUGCAAGUCGCACGAGAAAGCGGAGCAAUCCGUGAGUAAAGUGGCGCACGGGUGAGUAACACGUGAAUAAUCUACCUCCGAGUGGGGAAUAACUGAGAGAAAUCGUUAGCUAAUACCGCAUAACACUUACGAGUCAAAGCAGCAAGUGCGCUUGGAGAGGAGUUCGCGGCCGAUUAGUUAGUUGGCGGGUAAUGGCCCACCAAGCGGAUGAUCGGGUA
RNAcentral lists this ribosomal RNA (247 nucleotides) under uncultured bacterium. RNAcentral's name for it is "partial small subunit ribosomal RNA". It matches the Rfam family "Bacterial small subunit ribosomal RNA", at positions 26 to 286 of the family's 1533-position model. The record is from RNAcentral.